UACGAAGGGUGCAAGCGUUACUCGGAAUUACUGGGCGUAAAGCGUGCGUAGGUGGUUUGUUAAGUCUGUUGUGAAAGCCCCGGGCUCAACCUGGGAAUGGCAAUGGAUACUGGCAGGCUGAGAGUGCGGUAGAGGGUGAGUGGAAUUCCCGGUGUAGCGGUGAAAUGUGUAGAGAUCGGGAGGAACACCAGUGGCGAAGGCGGUUCAGCCUGGA
This 214-nucleotide ribosomal RNA is filed under the name uncultured bacterium. RNAcentral's name for it is "partial 16S ribosomal RNA". It matches the Rfam family "Bacterial small subunit ribosomal RNA", at positions 524 to 733 of the family's 1533-position model. The record is from RNAcentral.